This 309-nucleotide ribosomal RNA is filed under the name Triticum aestivum (bread wheat). Its description in RNAcentral is "partial small subunit ribosomal RNA". The record is from RNAcentral. Lineage: Eukaryota; Viridiplantae; Streptophyta; Magnoliopsida; Poales; Poaceae.
AUGGUCGACCGAGGCGGAUCCGGCAGCGGCGGGUCAACUUCGUCAGCGCCCGGCGCCCGUCGACACAGCGCCAGCGACGACGUCGGCCCUUCCUGCUCGGCGCGCAGCUCCAGCCGCUCCUCCAGGUACGCCGCCCAUCAGUCCACCACCACCACCACCCUCUGCUUCGGUGGUGGUACUCGACCACCACUGGGUCCUCGUGCCCACGCCGGGGGCGGCGCGCACUGGGGCGCCCCAAUCCGAGGCACAAGCAGCAACAGGCAAGGGAGAGGGCAGCUACGGGGGAGGCGAUGUCCGCGCGCUGUUUGA